Long non-coding RNA from Musa acuminata AAA Group (dessert banana), 3367 nucleotides. RefSeq lists it as uncharacterized. The transcript has 2 exons. The record is from RefSeq and is a predicted model, not a curated record. NCBI's taxonomy places the organism in Eukaryota, Viridiplantae, Streptophyta, Magnoliopsida, Zingiberales, Musaceae.
AUCCCUUACAAUUUUCUUGGAAGUAAAGCUUGAUUUGCUGGUUUUAGUCAAUCUGAUCAGUAAAUAGUAUAUCUCACUGCAUCCACAUGGAAAUAUCUAGUGAAAAGCUGGACAAGAACCUAGUGCAUGGGUACUGUUGUUUUCUUCUCUCUAAUUAUUUAAAAUGAUCCUUUGUGGUAUGAGUAAUUGUAUCUUCCAUUUCUUUACGUCUGCAAUCAUUGAUUGGAAGCUCAUUUCUGCAGCGGAGGAAUGAUCAUGGUAGACCUACAUAAUUAUGUUAUUUUCGUCCAUUAAAGUGGUGAUCUGAAUUACAUUUUAAAGACUGAUGUCAGAAUUUAUUUCAUAAUCUUUUACUUGCCUUUCUGCCAAGGAUCAUUGUUUUAGGUACUGCACCUGUUUUGCUGAUUUGUUGGACCGGUACUUAUCGGUCAAUACUAGUGUAUAAUAUGUCGGUACACCGGUAUGUAACAGUAUUUUUAGGAGAAAGGAAAAGAGGAAGAAGAGAAAGGAGUAGUGGAGGAACAGAGGAUGAAGGAGGACGAAAGAAGGAAGAAGAGGAAAUGGUGGAGGAAAAAGAAGAAGAAGAAAGGAAGAAGGAAGAGGAGGAGGAGGAGGAUAAGAGGUGGGAGUAUACUUGGGAAGAAGAAGGAAUGCGGUGGCGACGACGGAAGCAUUGAACGUGAGAAGAGGGCUCGCAUUUGUGAGCCCUAAUCACUAUUUUAGGAUUUUUUUCUUUUUUAAUACCAAGUUGGAUGGGCCCCACUGCUAUUUUUUUAAAUUAUUUUUACUGAAGUGGAUCGGACCACUAGAAAUGGGGAUUUUUUUAAUUAUUUUUAUUGGCCCACACAUGGACUAUUAUAUAUCGCCCCUGCAUAUGGAGAGAGCUUGGAAUACAGAAACUUUAACAAUGCACCAAAACCUUCUUUCUUUUUUGAUUUUUCAGAUAUGGGGUCUAGUACUAGAAGCAAAAUGGUCACUGCUAGGAUUAUGAUCUAUUUGGUAUUCAUUCUUAUGGAGGGUUUUCCUCAAAAAUGUUCCUACGGGAAGUUAGGAUGUAAAAUCAGGCCAAUGCCUGAUGCAUGGAUCAGAUGCCGCAAACCUUCAUAGGUAGAUGACUCCCAUAUUUGUGGAUCUGCAAUAUAGAAGAAUGAAUCCCAUAUUUGGCUUUGCCUUCCGUGUUAUUCAUUCUGGUAGAAUUUAUUUCCUCUCUAAAAAAUCUUUCACUCUGGUGACCUCUAUAAGCAUGGGGAAGAAUGUAAUAUCCCCCACUUUUAAAAAUGUAUUAAUAAGGAUUUAUAUGUAAAUUGGGGGACCUAUAUGUAAAUAUAGAAAUUUCAAAGACUAAACUGUUAAGUUGUAAAAAGAAGUAAAUAAAGAAACAGAGAGGAGCGGUGGGGCAUGAGGAGUGAAGAAAAGAAGAAGAAGAGGGAAAAGAAGAGAGGAGGAAGGAGAGAGGAAGAAGAGGGAGAAGAGAAGAAGAAGAAGAAGAGGAGGUGGCUGCAGCGAGGGCUGCAGCGAGGAGCUGUGAGGCGUGGGGAGAAGAAGAGAGGAAGAAGAGGGAGAAGAGAAGAAGAAGAAGAAGAGGAGGUGGCUGCAGCGAGGGCUGCAGCGAGGAGCUGUGAGGCGUGGGGAGAAGAAGAGAGGAAGAAGAGGGAGAAGAGAAGAAGAAGAAGAAGAGGAGGUGGCUGCAGCGAGGGCUGCAGCGAGGAGCUGUGAGGCGUGGGGAGAAGAAGAGAGGAAGAAGAGGGAGAAGAGAAGAAGAAGAAGAAGAAGAAGAAGAAGAAGAGAGGAGGAUAGCUGCGGCAAGGCUGCAGCGAGGAGGUGUGUGGCUUUGGGGAGGAAAAGGGAAGAGGAGAAGAAGAGAAGGAGAAGAAGAGGGAAAAGAGAGGCAGCUGCAGCAGCCAGGGCUGCAGCACCUCUGUUUCCCGCAGGUGGAAACAGAGGAGAGGAUGUGUGGGGCGUUGAGGAUGAAAAGGGAAGAAGAAGAAGAAGAAGAAGAAGAAGAAGAAGAAGAAGAUAGCUGCGGCAAGGCUGCAGCGAGGAGAUGUGUGGCCUUGGGGAGGAAAAGGGAAGAGGGGAAGAGGAGAAGAAGAAGAAGAGGAAGAGAAAGAGGUGUGAUACCUCUGUUUCCUGCAGAGUAAACAGAGGAGAGGGUGUGUGUGACGCCGGGGAAGAAGGGGCUGCAGCUGCGGCGAUGGCAGCUGCAGCUGGAAGAGAAGAAGAAGAGGAAGAUGAGCAGGGGAGGAGGGAGAGGUUGCGGCCGUGGCUGCGGCCGCGACUGCAGCAGUUGCAGCGGGGAGAGAAGAAGAAGAAAGGAAGGAGAAGGAAGAGGAGAAGGGAAAGAAGUAGCUGCGGCUGCGGUUGUGGCAGCUGCAGCUAUGGCAGGGAAAGAGGAAGAGAAAAAGGAAAGGAAGAAGAAGAGAAAGGGAAGGAGAGGAAGAAGAGAGGAAGAGGAGAAGGGGCUGCGGCUGCGGCGAUGGCAGCUGCAGCUGUGGCUGGGAAAGAAGAGAAGGAAAGGAAGAAGAAGAGAAAGGGAAGGAGAGGAAGAAGAGAGGAAGAGGAGAAGGGGUGGCAGCUGCGGCAGUGGCAGCUGCAGUUGGAAGAGAAGUAGGAGAGGAAAUAGAGUAGCAGAGGAAGAAGAGGCUGCGGUUGUGGUCGCUGCGGCCAUGGCUGCGACUGCGACUGCGGCAGUUGCAGCUGGGAAAAAAAGGAAAGGAAAGGGGGAAAAAGGGGCUGCGGACGGGAUUGCGGUCGCAGCGGCAGCGACUGCGUAUGCAGCAAUUAUGUCUGCGAGAGAAGGGAGGAAGGAAGGUAGUGCGGUGGAAGGGGCUGCGAUUGUGGCAGCGGCAGCGGCGGCAGCUGUGGCAGCUGCGUUUGGGAAAGAAAAAGAAGGAAUGAGAGUAAGAGAGAGCAGGUGACUGUGCCUCGAUGUUCGACACGUGAUGUAGUUACGAAGAAAGGAAGAAAACGGGAGCACAAAACGAAACAGAGAGAGGACACGGAGGAAAAGUAGAAAGAUUGGACUGGCACCUUCCUUGGAUAUUCAGAUCAAAAUAUUUGAAAGGUCAGCUUGUUACUCUUCGAGAUGUUUGAUUUGGGCUGAGGUAGUGGAUAGCUAUUCAGAAUGAUGGGCAAGUCUGGUUGGUUAUUACGAUAUUGUUGUAUAAGUAUGUUUUGUAUGUAAUGAAAUGUUGUCGAUGAAUCGAAAUGGAUAUACUGUGUCAAAGUGUUAGGAGAUCUCUCUUAUUUGGAAUUUCUGAAUGUUAAGCCUAAUUUAUAAUGAUAUGAACUUGUGGUGAAUAGUUGGAGUUCUGAUUGUAUAAAUUAUUUAGCUUGUGGAUUUAUAAAUAUUGUUCAUGUUUGUCAA